AGUAUCAUAAAAAAAGCUUGAGGAUAGAUGAAUAGUGUUGAAGCUUUGUAGGCCUAGCUACUUAGCUAUAUAUUUCAGUUUCUUCCUGAAAAUGGUUCCGUAGUCAUUAUCUUCCAUACCUAUUUCUGUUUGGUUACAGCUAUUUUUUAGAGACUUCUAAAUAAGCCUUUAUUGGUAACUUAGGGAAAAGGCAAGUGAAAGAACUUAAGCUUUGUCCCUUUUUCCAGAGGAAUUUAUGAUUAUGUUGAUGUUCUCUGACUGAGCCAGCUGUAAAGAGUACUGUGUUUCAAAGCAGCAGGCCUAAAAAUAAUAAUAAAAAUUCUGUCACUUCUUGCUUUGUUUUUUUUGGUAGGGAUUAAUGUUUCGGGAGAAGUCUGUGUGAAUCAGUGACCUUCAAAUAAUUUUGUAUUCUUGAGGCAAUUAUUAUGUGACAAAUAAUAAAAAGGUAAACUGAAAUAGAAAGGAGAGGAUGAGGUUUAUACAUUAGCUGAGGCAGGAGAAUGGCAUGAACCUGGGAAGUGGAGCUUGCAGUGAGCUGAGAUCAGGCCACUGCACUCCAGCCUGGGUGACAGAGCAAGACUCUGUCUC
Molecule: long non-coding RNA, 588 nt
Filed under: Pan troglodytes (chimpanzee)
Lineage: Eukaryota; Metazoa; Chordata; Mammalia; Primates; Hominidae
Description: lincRNA
Source: RNAcentral